Molecule: ribosomal RNA, 253 nt
Filed under: uncultured bacterium
Lineage: Bacteria
Description: partial 16S ribosomal RNA
Rfam family: Bacterial small subunit ribosomal RNA
Source: RNAcentral
UACAGAGGGGGCAAGCGUUGUUCGGAAUUACUGGGCGUAAAGGGCGCGUAGGCGGCCUCCUAAGUCAGACGUGAAAUCCCUCGGCUCAACCGGGGAACUGCGUCUGAUACUGAGAGGCUUGAAUCCGGGAGAGGGAUGUGGAAUUCCAGGUGUAGCGGUGAAAUGCGUAGAUAUCUGGAGGAACACCGGUGGCGAAGGCGGCAUCCUGGACCGGUAUUGACGCUGAUGCGCGAAAGCCAGGGGAGCAAACGGG